Molecule: ribosomal RNA, 701 nt
Filed under: Alcanivorax jadensis
Lineage: Bacteria; Pseudomonadati; Pseudomonadota; Gammaproteobacteria; Oceanospirillales; Alcanivoracaceae
Description: bacterial SSU rRNA
Rfam family: Bacterial small subunit ribosomal RNA
Source: RNAcentral
GUCGAGCGGAACGAUGGUAGCUUGCUACCAGGCGUCGAGCGGCGGACGGGUGAGUAACGCGUGAGAAUCUGCCCAUUUGUGGGGGAUAACUCGGGGAAACUCGAGCUAAUACCGCAUAAUCCCUACGGGGGAAAGCAGGGGACCUUCGGGCCUUGUGCAGAUGGAUGAGCUCGCGUCGGAUUAGCUUGUUGGUGAGGUAAAGGCUCACCAAGGCGACGAUCCGUAGCUGGUCUGAGAGGAUGAUCAGCCACACCGGGACUGAGACACGGCCCGGACUCCUACGGGAGGCAGCAGUGGGGAAUCUUGGACAAUGGGGGCAACCCUGAUCCAGCCAUGCCGCGUGUGUGAAGAAGGCCUUCGGGUUGUAAAGCACUUUCAGUAGGGAGGAAGGCUUACCGCUAAUAACGGUGAGUACUUGACGUUACCUACAGAAGAAGCACCGGCUAAUUUCGUGCCAGCAGCCGCGGUAAUACGAAAGGUGCGAGCGUUAAUCGGAAUUACUGGGCGUAAAGCGCGCGUAGGCGGUUUGUUAAGUCAGAUGUGAAAGCCCCGGGCUCAACCUGGGAAUUGCAUUUGAAACUGGCAGGCUAGAGUGCAGUAGAGGGAGGUGGAAUUUCCGGUGUAGCGGUGAAAUGCGUAGAGAUCGGAAGGAACACCAGUGGCGAAGGCGGCCUCCUGGACUGACACUGACGCUGAGGUGC